Molecule: ribosomal RNA, 443 nt
Filed under: uncultured bacterium
Lineage: Bacteria
Description: partial 16S ribosomal RNA
Rfam family: Bacterial small subunit ribosomal RNA
Source: RNAcentral
CCUACGGGAGGCUGCAGUGGGGAAUAUUGCACAAUGGGCGAAAGCCUGAUGCAGCAACGCCGCGUGAAGGAAGAAGGGUUUCGGCUCGUAAACUUCCAUCAACAGGGACGAAAGAAAUGACGGUACCUGAAUAAGAAGCCCAGGCUAACUACGUGCCAGCAGCCGCGGGAAUACGUAGGGGGCAAGCGUUAUCCGGAAUUCCUGGGUGUAAAGGGUGAGUAGGGGGGAUGGUAAGCCAGAUGUGAAAGCCUUGGGCUUAACCCGAGUAUGGCAUUUGGAACUAUCAAGCUAGAGUACAGGAGAGGAGAGCGGAAUUCGUGGUGUAGCGGUGAAAUGCGUAGAUAUUAGGAAGAACACCAGUGGCGAAGGCAGCUUUCUGGACUGAAACUGACGCUGAGGCACGAAAGCGUGGGGAGCGAACAGGAUUAGAUACCCUGGUAGUC